Molecule: ribosomal RNA, 442 nt
Filed under: uncultured bacterium
Lineage: Bacteria
Description: partial 16S ribosomal RNA
Rfam family: Bacterial small subunit ribosomal RNA
Source: RNAcentral
CCUACGGGGGGCAGCAGUAGGGAAUCUUUCACAAUGGGCGAAAGCCUGAUGGAGCAACGCCGCGUGCAGGAUGAAGGCCUUCGGGUUGUAAACUGCUUUUAUAAGCGAGAAAUAUGAUGGUAACUUAUGAAUAAGGAUCGGCUAACUACGUGCCAGCAGCCGCGGUCUUACGUAGGAUCCGAGCAUUAUCCGGAGUGACUGGGUGUAAAGAGUUGCGUAGGUGGCAUAAUAAGUAGCUAGUGAAAUCUGGUGGCUCAACAAUUCAGAAUAUUAGCUAAACUGUUAAGCUCGAGACCGUUAGAGGUAAGUGGAAUGUCUAGUGUAGGAGUGAAAUCCGUAGAUAUUAGAAGGAACACCAAUAGCGUAGGCAGGUUGCUGGGACGGUUCUGACACUAAGGCACGAAAGCGUAGGGAGCAAACGGGAUUAGAUACCCGAGUAGUC